Molecule: small RNA, 1100 nt
Filed under: Trichoderma harzianum
Lineage: Eukaryota; Fungi; Ascomycota; Sordariomycetes; Hypocreales; Hypocreaceae
Description: eukaryotic LSU rRNA
Rfam family: Eukaryotic large subunit ribosomal RNA (bases 507-1100)
Source: RNAcentral
UGUGAACGUUACCAAACUGUUGCCUCGGCGGGAUCUCUGCCCCGGGUGCGUCGCAGCCCCGGACCAAGGCGCCCGCCGGAGGACCAACCAAAACUCUUAUUGUAUACCCCCUCGCGGGUUUUUUUAUAAUCUGAGCCUUCUCGGCGCCUCUCGUAGGCGUUUCGAAAAUGAAUCAAAACUUUCAACAACGGAUCUCUUGGUUCUGGCAUCGAUGAAGAACGCAGCGAAAUGCGAUAAGUAAUGUGAAUUGCAGAAUUCAGUGAAUCAUCGAAUCUUUGAACGCACAUUGCGCCCGCCAGUAUUCUGGCGGGCAUGCCUGUCCGAGCGUCAUUUCAACCCUCGAACCCCUCCGGGGGGUCGGCGUUGGGGAUCGGCCCUGCCUUGGCGGUGGCCGUCUCCGAAAUACAGUGGCGGUCUCGCCGCAGCCUCUCCUGCGCAGUAGUUUGCACACUCGCAUCGGGAGCGCGGCGCGUCCACAGCCGUUAAACACCCAACUUCUGAAAUGUUGACCUCGGAUCAGGUAGGAAUACCCGCUGAACUUAAGCAUAUCAAUAAGCGGAGGAAAAGAAACCAACAGGGAUUGCCCCAGUAACGGCGAGUGAAGCGGCAACAGCUCAAAUUUGAAAUCUGGUCCCUAGGGCCCGAGUUGUAAUUUGUAGAGGAUGCUUUUGGUGAGGUGCCGCCCGAGUUCCCUGGAACGGGACGCCACAGAGGGUGAGAGCCCCGUCUGGCUGGCCGCCGAGCCUCUGUAAAGCUCCUUCGACGAGUCGAGUAGUUUGGGAAUGCUGCUCAAAAUGGGAGGUAUAUGUCUUCUAAAGCUAAAUAUUGGCCAGAGACCGAUAGCGCACAAGUAGAGUGAUCGAAAGAUGAAAAGCACCUUGAAAAGAGGGUUAAAUAGUACGUGAAAUUGUUGAAAGGGAAGCGCUUGUGACCAGACUUGGGCGCGGCGGAUCAUCCGGGGUUCUCUCCGGUGCACUUCGCCGCGUCUAGGCCAGCAUCAGUUCGUCGCGGGGGAAAAAGGCUUCGGGAACGUGGCUCCUCCGGGAGUGUUAUAGCCCGUUGCAUAAUACCCUGCGGUGGACUGAGGACCGCGCAUCUGC